UACGAAGGUCCCGAGCGUUAUCCGGAUUUAUUGGGUUUAAAGGGUGCGUAGGCGGAUUAUUAAGUCAGUGGUGAAAGCCUACAGCUUAACUGUAGAAUUGCCAUUGAUACUGAUGAUCUUGAGUAUGAUUGAGGUGGGCGGAAUGUGUCAUGUAGCGGUGAAAUGCUUAGAUAUGACACAGAACACCGAUUGCGAAGGCAGCUCACUAAGUCAUAACUGACGCUGAUGCACGAAAGCGUGGGGAGCAAACAGG
RNAcentral lists this ribosomal RNA (253 nucleotides) under uncultured bacterium. Its description in RNAcentral is "partial 16S ribosomal RNA". It matches the Rfam family "Bacterial small subunit ribosomal RNA", at positions 524 to 776 of the family's 1533-position model. The record is from RNAcentral.